RNAcentral lists this ribosomal RNA (379 nucleotides) under Cellana mazatlandica. RNAcentral's name for it is "partial 12S ribosomal RNA". It matches the Rfam family "Bacterial small subunit ribosomal RNA", at positions 874 to 1384 of the family's 1533-position model. The record is from RNAcentral. Lineage: Eukaryota; Metazoa; Mollusca; Gastropoda; Nacellidae.
UAAAAGAAAUAAAUAUUAAUUCAUUUUUGCUUGGGCACUACGAACACAUGUUUAAAACCCAAAGAACUUGGCGGUACUUUAACCCACUUAGGGGAACCUGUCCUUUAAUUCGAUAGUCCACGAUAAUCUUAUUUAUUUUAGAACACUUCAGCUUGUAUACCGUCGUCAUAAGUUAACCUUAAAAAGAAAAAAAGUUAACAACAAAGAUAAAAUCUAACAAUUUUCUCUCAGGUCAGAUCAAGGUGCAGCUAAUAAAUAAAGAAGAGAUGGGUUACAAUUGAUAAAUUUCAAAUGGAAUUUUUAAAGAAAACAAAAACGAAAUAGGACUUAAAAGUAAUUUAUGAAAACAAACAUUAAUGAAUAAGGAAAUAAAGUGUGU